Long non-coding RNA from Wasmannia auropunctata (little fire ant), 457 nucleotides. RefSeq lists it as uncharacterized. The transcript has 3 exons. Lineage: Eukaryota; Metazoa; Arthropoda; Insecta; Hymenoptera; Formicidae. The record is from RefSeq and is a predicted model, not a curated record.
AUUCGAUGAUUAGGCAACGUGGUAGAUGUUCACGUAAAUAGUCAAACAGUUCUCGUGACGUUCCUGGACAAUUGGUUAGUUCUAACUCGUAGAUCUCAUGACGCAUAAGUGUUGAAGUCCAAAAUCUCUAAGUUGCGAACACCAUCUCAAGAAUAAAGCACUCAACGAAACCAUCGUGGAGAUAUAACCGACGCCGAUAUCAGUAAUGUGUACGCACCUGUACAGUAAUAUGAAAAAUAUACGAUGCAAAGAAACAAAUACAAAUACAAAUAAAUGCAUAAUCCUAAAUUACACGAUAUAUUAGCAACACAACAAGAUGCGUACAGAGAUUUAUUACUGUUUAUGACAAAUCUCUUGGUUGAAAGCGAUAUAUUCUAAGGCUGCAUCUGUAAUCCUUGAGCACCAGCUGAGAUCUAAGGAACGAAGUCUUGGCAAGUUUUCCGCGAUUAAUUCAACA